CAUUCACGGAGAGUUUGAUCCUGGCUCAGGACGAACGCUGGCGGCGUGCUUAACACAUGCAAGUCGAACGAUGAACCGCUUUCGGGCGGGGAUUAGUGGCGAACG
This 105-nucleotide ribosomal RNA is filed under the name Streptomyces sp. SID8352. RNAcentral describes it as "partial 16S ribosomal RNA". It matches the Rfam family "Bacterial small subunit ribosomal RNA", at positions 1 to 104 of the family's 1533-position model. Lineage: Bacteria; Bacillati; Actinomycetota; Actinomycetes; Kitasatosporales; Streptomycetaceae. The record is from RNAcentral.